This 95-nucleotide transfer RNA is filed under the name Desulfobacteraceae bacterium. RNAcentral's name for it is "tRNA-Ser". It matches the Rfam family "tRNA". From Rfam's summary of the family: Transfer RNA (tRNA) molecules are approximately 80 nucleotides in length. Lineage: Bacteria; Pseudomonadati; Thermodesulfobacteriota; Desulfobacteria; Desulfobacterales; Desulfobacteraceae. The record is from RNAcentral.
GGAGAGAUGUCCGAGCUGGCCGAAGGAGCGCGACUGGAAAUCGCGUGUACUACUCAAAAGUGGUACCGAGGGUUCGAAUCCCUCUCUCUCCGCCA